UAUGUACUCCCCCCGUCCCAAUAUUUUUGUCUUAAUUUUUUUUAGAUACGAAUGUUUCUAGUCACAUUUUAGCAUUUAGAUACAUUCAUUUGUAAACAAACCUAAGACAAGAAUUUUGGGACGGAGGGAGUAUAUA
This is a non-coding RNA of Hordeum vulgare subsp. vulgare (domesticated barley), 136 nucleotides long. The record is from Rfam. Lineage: Eukaryota; Viridiplantae; Streptophyta; Magnoliopsida; Poales; Poaceae.